UGAAUUGAAUCGGGCAGCUUCAGUUGACUGCCUCUUCAGGUUCAGAGCAUUCAGUUAUGGAGAGAGGCAUUCCUUGUGGAUCAUGUUUCCAGACUCAAACCCGAUCUGCUGCCCGAAGUACAACACCGUACAAGGUCACCGCUUACCUCCGUAUGGACGGCUUUUCAACUGUUAACAUUUUGUCCAGUGGCUCGUCGGAUACAUCAGCAUAUUUGUGAUGUGGAGCGAAGUUGACUGCGACGACGUGGUUCAAGUCUGCAUAGAACGAUUUCAGAAAGCAGGAAAAGAAAACGUCAUUGGUAAAUCCGGCAGUCUGAACAGCCAAGGGAGCAUCUCGCCGUGAGUCUAGGUCACAACCUUUGACCCGUAGUGUUUCCUGCUCAGGGUCACUGGUCCUCCGGAUGGCCCUCUUUCAUUUCCCUCAUUCACUCAUGCACUGCUGCUUUUUCUCAGUGGGCCAGCAGGAGGUCAACCUAGAUCACAGUUAACCUACUUCUGCUUAGGUCACUGCAACAGAGAAGUAAACCGUUCUUUAUUUAUUUGAUUAUAAGAAUUUUGAUUGAUUUAUUUCUUUUUUUACUGGCAUACAAUGGAAGUGCUGAAAUCAACUCAAACCUCUUCCCGCUUUUCAUAUCAUUCACUCUGCUCUUAGAUACAAAAGAGCAUAUUAUAACUGCAAUAUUCUUACAAUAUUUAAAAGUAAAUCAUUGAUAAUAAACUUAAUGUACACCUUUGUUCGGGUUACUCUCUGAAUCUAGAGGAAUAGGGUUUAUUACAAAAUAAGGUUUGCUAGGGACUGUAUAUGCUAAUCAAUCUUUGAA
This 821-nucleotide long non-coding RNA is filed under the name Danio rerio (zebrafish). RNAcentral describes it as "lncRNA si:rp71-82p7.1 (ENSDARG00000104012.2)". Lineage: Eukaryota; Metazoa; Chordata; Actinopteri; Cypriniformes; Danionidae. The record is from RNAcentral.